This 269-nucleotide ribosomal RNA is filed under the name uncultured prokaryote. RNAcentral's name for it is "partial 16S ribosomal RNA". It matches the Rfam family "Bacterial small subunit ribosomal RNA", at positions 524 to 792 of the family's 1533-position model. The record is from RNAcentral.
UACGUAGGGGGCAAGCGUUAUCCGGAUUUACUGGGUGUAAAGGGAGCGCAGACGGAACUGCAAGUCUGAUGUGAAAGCCCGGGGCUCAACCGCGGGACUGCAUUGGAAACUGUAGAUCUGGAGUGCCGGAGGGGCAAGCGGAAUUCCUGGUGUAGCGGUGAAAUGCGUAGAUAUCAGGAGGAACACCGGCGGCGAAGGCGGCUUGCUGGACGGCAACUGACGUUGAGGCUCGAAAGCGCGGGGAGCAAACAGGAUUAGAUACCCUGGUA